GGAUUCUACCGUUGGUCGGGCAAUAGUCUGUACUGGCGUGUAGAAUUUCUACCUUCUGAGGAACCAUCAUGUUAUUUAUUUAGCGUGGUGGGAAACCAGGACCUUUACCUUGAAAAAAUUAGAGUGUUCAAAGCAGGCUUACGUCUGAAUACAUUAGCAUGGAAUAAUAAAAUAGGACUU
This 180-nucleotide ribosomal RNA is filed under the name uncultured Glomeromycotina. Its description in RNAcentral is "partial small subunit ribosomal RNA". The stretch from base 39 to 180 matches the Rfam family "Eukaryotic small subunit ribosomal RNA", at positions 686 to 830 of the family's 1831-position model. Lineage: Eukaryota; Fungi; Glomeromycota. The record is from RNAcentral.